CAGUCGCCACGGGAAUACAGAGGGUGCGAGCGUUAAUCGGAUUUACUGGGCGUAAAGCGUGCGUAGGCGGCUUCUUAAGUCGGAUGUGAAAUCCCUGAGCUUAACUUAGGAAUUGCAUUCGAUACUGGGAAGCUAGAGUAUGGGAGAGGAUGGUAGAAUUCCAGGUGUAGCGGUGAAAUGCGUAGAGAUCUGGAGGAAUACCGAUGGCGAAGGCAGCCAUCUGGCCUAAUACUGACGCUGAGGUACGAAAGCAUGGGGAGCAAACAGGAUUAGAUACCCGAGUAGUCCCUGUCUCUUAUAC
Molecule: ribosomal RNA, 301 nt
Filed under: uncultured bacterium
Lineage: Bacteria
Description: partial 16S ribosomal RNA
Rfam family: Bacterial small subunit ribosomal RNA
Source: RNAcentral